UACGUAGGGUGCGAGCGUUGUCCGGAAUUAUUGGGCGUAAAGAGCUUGUAGGCGGUUUGUCGCGUCUGCUGUGAAAUCUCAAGGCUCAACCUUGAGCUUGCAGUGGGUACGGGCAGACUAGAGUGUGGUAGGGGAGACUGGAAUUCCUGGUGUAGCGGUGAAAUGCGCAGAUAUCAGGAGGAACACCAAUUGCGAAGGCAGCUCGCUGGGACGUUACUGACGCUGAGACGCGAAAGCGUGGGGGAGCAAACAGG
RNAcentral lists this ribosomal RNA (254 nucleotides) under uncultured bacterium. Its description in RNAcentral is "partial 16S ribosomal RNA". It matches the Rfam family "Bacterial small subunit ribosomal RNA", at positions 524 to 776 of the family's 1533-position model. The record is from RNAcentral.